GAUGAACGCUGGCGGCGUGCUUAACACAUGCAAGUCGAACGGAAAGUCCCAAGCUUGCUUCGGUACUCGAGUUGCGAACGGGUGAGUAACACUUGGGUUAUCUGUCCUGCACUUCGGGAUAAGCCUAUGAAACUUGGUCUAUUACCGGAUAGGACUUCUUCCUUUUGGUUGUGGUGGAGAGUUUUUUCGGUGUGGGUUGAGUACGCGGCCUAGCAGCUUGCUGGUGGGGUCAUGUCCUACCAAGUCGUCGACGGGUAGCCGGCGUGAGAGGGUGAGCGGCAACAUUGAGACUGGGAUAGGGACCAGACUCCGACGGGAGGGAGAAGGAGGAGAGAGGGAAAAAGGGGAGCGAGCGUGAUGCAGAGACGCCGCGGGGGGGAUGACGGCGAUGGGGUUGGAGACGCAUUGCGCUAGGAACGAAGCGUUUUGUGACGGUACCGGGAGAAGAAGCACCGGCUAACUACGUG
RNAcentral lists this ribosomal RNA (467 nucleotides) under uncultured bacterium. Its description in RNAcentral is "partial 16S ribosomal RNA". It matches the Rfam family "Bacterial small subunit ribosomal RNA", at positions 28 to 507 of the family's 1533-position model. The record is from RNAcentral.